GACGAACGCUGGCGGCGUGCUUAACACAUGCAAGUCGAGCGAUGAAGCUCCUUCGGGAGUGGAUUAGCGGCGGACGGGUGAGUAACACGUGGGUAACCUGCCUCAUAGAGGGGAAUAGCCUUCCGAAAGGAAGAUUAAUACCGCAUAAGAUUGUAGUUCCGCAUGGAAUAGCAAUUAAAGGAGUAAUCCGCUAUGAGAUGGACCCGCGUCGCAUUAGCUAGUUGGUGAGGUAACGGCUCACCAAGGCGACGAUGCGUAGCCGACCUGAGAGGGUGAUCGGCCACAUUGGGACUGAGACACGGCCCAGACUCCUACGGGAGGCAGCAGUGGGGAAUAUUGCACAAUGGGGGAAACCCUGAUGCAGCAACGCCGCGUGAGUGAUGACGGUCUUCGGAUUGUAAAACUCUGUCUUCAGGGACGAUAAUGACGGUACCUGAGGAGGAAGCCACGGCUAACUACGUG
This 462-nucleotide ribosomal RNA is filed under the name uncultured bacterium. RNAcentral describes it as "bacterial SSU rRNA". It matches the Rfam family "Bacterial small subunit ribosomal RNA", at positions 28 to 507 of the family's 1533-position model. The record is from RNAcentral.